Long non-coding RNA from Gymnogyps californianus (California condor), 978 nucleotides. RefSeq lists it as uncharacterized. NCBI's taxonomy places the organism in Eukaryota, Metazoa, Chordata, Aves, Accipitriformes, Cathartidae. The record is from RefSeq and is a predicted model, not a curated record. The transcript is spliced from 7 exons.
GGGAAGUAACUGACAGCACUUAUUGUAGCUUGACUGUCCUGCAGCCUCCAGCUUGGGACAGGCAGCGAGUUGUUAACCUGCUAAGCAGGUACAGCUGCAAAUACUGUUCACUAACUGAACUAAAGUAUUUUCCAGGCAAGAUGACAGGUUAUUUGGCUUAUAAGUCAUAAAGUGUCCCGAAACAACGGCAACUACCCAAGACAUAGUAGAAGCUCUGCUAGCCCACUGAUGGCUAGUAGUUCUUCAAACACUGAAUUCCGUUGCAGAAAUUCAGAGCUUACCUCAAAGCUGGACAGUGUAUCACAGUGACUGUCAUGAGUCGAUGCAAAGAUUAUCACUGGCUAACUCAAUUCUUCUUCCCUCUGGCCAGAAUGCAUGCCAGUGAAGGAAAAAUUUACUUCCUGAAACCAUGCUGCCUUCAGCAAUUUCAAAUAGCUCUAAAUUAUGUGAAGUAAAAUAAAGGUCUUCAAAUCCAGAAGAAGUUCUCUGCUCACUGUGUGUUUUUUCUCUGAGGAAAUUAUUGCUUUUUAAUCUGCCAUUCAUCUCAUCCACAUAGGAACAAAGUGGAUUUUCAGGUGCAUCACUGGAGAAUUUGAAUGCAACUUAUGAGAAGAACGUUGUGGUGAAUAGAUCCGUAUUAGGUGGGAAUAAUCGAGAUUACUCUCCAGGAGGCCAGCAGCACUCCACUCACGUGCCUAACAGCAUUCACAAUACCACGCUCCCUAAGAAGUGUCUGCUGGCUGCACGUGGGACUCUCCCUUUUCUUUGUAAGGGAAGCCUGCCAUGUCAAAGGUGGACUGGAGUUUAAGAGACUUUCAGACAAAACUCUUUCACUGGAUAUGGGAGGAAUCAGCCUUGGGAGCGCUGCGAUUGCUCAUAAGCACCCUACAGAAGUAUCACUUCUAGAAGCGCCACGCGCUUAAAUAUUGCUGCAUUUAAACAAACAACCCCAAGAUGUGUUCCUUCUCACUUGUAGGU